RNAcentral lists this transfer RNA (65 nucleotides) under Dipodomys ordii (Ord's kangaroo rat). It matches the Rfam family "tRNA". From Rfam's summary of the family: Transfer RNA (tRNA) molecules are approximately 80 nucleotides in length. The record is from Rfam by way of RNAcentral. Lineage: Eukaryota; Metazoa; Chordata; Mammalia; Rodentia; Heteromyidae.
GGUGGCUCAGUGGUCGAGCACUUGCCUUGCAUGCAUGAGGCCCUGGGUUCGAUUCCUCAGUACCA